Molecule: long non-coding RNA, 690 nt
Filed under: Heterocephalus glaber (naked mole-rat)
Lineage: Eukaryota; Metazoa; Chordata; Mammalia; Rodentia; Bathyergidae
Description: lncRNA (ENSHGLG00000041465.1)
Source: RNAcentral
CACAAAUGCAAGACCAACAAAUUGCAUCAGAGACAGAUGAUGUGGUCUCUGGCACAUGCCUAAACCAGUCUGUGUACAGGACUACACCAGCCUGGAGUUUAGGGAGAACAUGAGUCGAACUCGGGACCUAGCAGUUGCAAGGCAGGUACCUGAACCACUGAGCUAAAUCCUGGGUCCUUUCAUGGAUUUUCUUAAAUCAGGUAUUAUUCUCUUCCAAUUAUUCUAGGAAGAUACACCGAAGACACUGAGGUUACCUUCAAAAGAGCAGAUGGAUUAAUUCAGAGAAGGGAGAAUAAUGAUUGUGGUGAUGGAGGAGUUUUGGAGCUCAGGAGAAAGAACAACAGUGGAACUCUGCCAAGGAAGGAGGACAGAAAUUGGAGGAGAGAUUUCUUUCAUUAAGAUCCAUCAUCUUUGACCCAAAAUCAGUGUCCUGACAUAACAAAAGAUAGUAGUAUAUUUUUUCUGCCACUGCAAGUAGCUUUUACUCACUUCCUUCUAGAUUUAUAAGCAGUUAGAAGUUUUGAAAAUUUUUCAUUUGGGGAGUGAAAUGGAAACUUGUCUGAACUUGCUGAUACCUGCAAAUCCCAUAAGAUUUACUUAGACAAAAUAAUAGAUCUGUAUUUCAUAGCCUUAUGUCCAAGGCUUCAUGUCCACAAAAACCCUUAUGCAAUAAACAUGUGUAGAAAUGGA